RNAcentral lists this ribosomal RNA (491 nucleotides) under uncultured bacterium. RNAcentral describes it as "partial 16S ribosomal RNA". It matches the Rfam family "Bacterial small subunit ribosomal RNA", at positions 29 to 506 of the family's 1533-position model. The record is from RNAcentral.
AGUGAACGCUGGCGGUAGGCCUAACACAUGCAAGUCGAACGGCAGCACAGUAAGAGCUUGCUCUUACGGGUGGCGAGUGGCGGACGGGUGAGGAAUACAUCGGAAUCUACUUUUUCGUGGGGGAUAACGUAGGGAAACUUACGCUAAUACCGCAUACGACCUACGGGUGAAAGCAGGGGAUCUUCGGACCUUGCGCGAUUGAAUGAGCCGAUGUCGGAUUAGCUAGUUGGCGGGGUAAAGGCCCACCAAGGCGACGAUCCGUAGCCGGUCUGAGAGGAUGAUCAGCCACACUGGAACUGAGACACGGUCCAGACUCCUACGGGAGGCAGCAGUGGGGAAUAUUGGACAAUGGGCGCAAGCCUGAUCCAGCCAUACCGCGUGGGUGAAGAAGGCCUUCGGGUUGUAAAGCCCUUUUGUUGGGAAAGAAAAGCAGCAGGUUAAUACCCCGCUGUUCUGACGGUACCCAAAGAAUAAGCACCGGCUAACUUCGU